GGACGCGAUCGGUGCCCACUCAGGGAUCCAAAGCUGGACAUGGAUACUGAAACAAUAUGGCGUCAUGAUGGAGCUCAAAUAGGAAUGCUGCAAGAACUUCAGACCGAAACGUGUGAUGAAUGAGAAGACAACAUAUUGAGCUAAAAACCAUCCAAAAGCAGUCAACAGAUGUCACUGCAUCUCUAACGUUAAGUAGAAAAGAGAAGGCGUUCUCAUCAUGCAUGUCUCUAAAGAGUCUUUACAGAUGGAAACAACUGUGAGAAGGAAAGAUCUCCUAUAGAGGGGUGUGCUGCAGUGGAUCAGCAGUAGCCUCUGACUGAAGACGCUGUGUUGUCGAGUUACUGUAUUAUGAAUGUUGUUCAGUCUGUUCUUAAUUUUAUUCUUCUCCCCACAAUUAGCUCUAGAACAGUGAUCAGAACAGAGCUUGGCUUUCUCCUGAGCUUGUUAAGCUUUUUUUAGUCACUGGGUCCCAUGUUGCUAUGCUAGCUGAUGAUGUCAGAGGAAACUACACUCUAGACAGCAGACUUUUAAAAUAUAAAGAUUUAAGGACCUAAAUUAAGCAGGCAACAUACACAUCUUACAUUAACAGUAACAUAUUUUUGGCACUAAUGGAAUCCCUACCAAUACAUAAGCACACAGCAGAUACAACAUAUGCCCCUUAAAGAUUCA
Poecilia latipinna (sailfin molly) is the source of this 669-nucleotide long non-coding RNA. RefSeq lists it as uncharacterized. The transcript is spliced from 3 exons. The record is from RefSeq and is a predicted model, not a curated record. Lineage: Eukaryota; Metazoa; Chordata; Actinopteri; Cyprinodontiformes; Poeciliidae.